UCCGGUUUGUCACCGGCAGUCUCACUAGAGUGCCCAACUUAAUGUGGCAACUAAUGACAAGGGUUGCGCUCGUUGCGGGACUUAACCCAACAUCUCACAACACGAGCUGACGACAGCCAUGCAGCACCUGUGUUGCGGUUCCCUUUCGGGCACUCCUGCAUUUCUGCAGGAUUCCGCACAUGUCAAGGGUAGGUAAGGUUUUUCGCGUUGCAUCGAAUUAAACCACAUCAUCCACCGCUUGUGCGGGCCCCCGUCAAUUCCUUUGAGUUUCAGCCUUGCGGCCGUACUCCCCAGGCGGGGCACUUAAUGCGUUAGCGCCGGCACCCAGGGGGUCGCUCCCCCAGGCACCUAGUGCCCAUCGUUUACGGCGCGGACUAC
RNAcentral lists this unclassified non-coding RNA (378 nucleotides) under uncultured bacterium. RNAcentral's name for it is "contains 16S-23S intergenic spacer region". The record is from RNAcentral.